GAUCCUGCCGGACCCUACUGCUAUCGGGGUGGGACUAAGACAUGCGUGUCGAACGACCCCAAGCCAACAUGAGGUCGUGGCAUACGGCUCAGUAACACGUGGCUAACCUACCCUCGAGACAGGGACAACCCCGGGAAACUGGGGCUAAUCCCAGAUAGAUGAAGACCCCUGGAACGGGUCCUCGUCCAAAAGGCACCGCGGUUAUGCUCUGCGGUGUCGCUCAAGGAUGGGGCCGCGUCCGAUCAGGCUGUUGGUGAGGUAAUGGCUCACCAAACCUAUAACCGGUACGGGCCGUGGGAGCGGGAGCCCGGAGAUGGGAACUGAGACAAGGUCCCAGGCCCUACGGGGCGCAGCAGUUACGAAAACUUGUCAAUGCACGAAAGUGUGAACGGGCUACCCCGAGUGCCGUCCGCUGAGGAUGGCUUUUCUCUGCUUUAAGAAGGCAGAGGAAUAAGGCGAGGGCAAGUCUGGUGUCAGCCGCCGCGGUAAUACCAGCUCGCCGAGUGGUAGGGAUGAUUAUUGGGCCUGAAGCGUCCGUAGCUGGCCUUUCAAGUCUCUUGUUAAAUCCAACGAUUCAAUCGCUGGACUGCAGGAGAUACUGUGAGGCUAGGAGGCGAGAGAAGCCGACGGUAUUUUCGGGGUAGGGGUAAAAUCCUAUAAUCCCGAGAAGACCACCAGUGGCGAAGGCGGUCGGCUAGCGCGCGCUCGACAGUGAGGGACGAAAGCUGGGGGAGCGAACCGGAUUAGAUACCCGGGUAGUCCCAGCUGUAAACGAUGCUGGCUAGGUGUUGAAGCGGCCACGAGCCGCUUCAGUGCCGCAGGAAAGCCAUUAAGCCAGCCGCCUGGGGAGUACGGCCGCAAGGCUGAAACUUAAAGGAAUUGGCGGGGGAGCACCACAAGGGGUGAAGCUUGCGGUUUAAUUGGAGUCAACGCCGGG
RNAcentral lists this ribosomal RNA (937 nucleotides) under uncultured archaeon. RNAcentral's name for it is "bacterial SSU rRNA". It matches the Rfam family "Archaeal small subunit ribosomal RNA", at positions 10 to 922 of the family's 1478-position model. The record is from RNAcentral.